GACGAACGCUGGCGGCGUGGAUUAGGCAUGCAAGUCGAACGGUAUCAUCCUUUCGGGGGUGAGAGAGUGGCGAACUGGUGAGUAACACGUAGGUUAUCUACCCUCAAGACGGGGACAACCCAGGGAAACUUGGGCUAAUACCGGAUGUGAGCAACUUUUAGUUGUUUGAAGGGUGGCGUAAGCUGUCGCUUGGGGAUGAGCCUGCGUCCUAUUAGUUAGUUGGUGAGGUAACGGCUCACCUAGGCAAUGAUAGGUAGGCGGCCUUAACGGGUGGUCGCCCACACUGGGAUUGAGAUACGGCCCAGACUCCUACGGGAGGCAGCAGUCGGGAAUAUUAGUAAUGGGCGAAAGUCUGACGCAGCAACGCCGCGUGGGUGAUGAAGGUCUUCGGAUUGUAAAACCCUGUCGUCAGGGACGAAGGUUGGGGCUUUAAUAGAGUUUCAACUUGACGGUACCUGGAGAGGAAGCCCCGGCUAACUCUGUG
RNAcentral lists this ribosomal RNA (484 nucleotides) under uncultured bacterium. Its description in RNAcentral is "bacterial SSU rRNA". It matches the Rfam family "Bacterial small subunit ribosomal RNA", at positions 28 to 507 of the family's 1533-position model. The record is from RNAcentral.